Molecule: ribosomal RNA, 529 nt
Filed under: uncultured bacterium
Lineage: Bacteria
Description: bacterial SSU rRNA
Rfam family: Bacterial small subunit ribosomal RNA
Source: RNAcentral
AAUAGAUACCCGGGUAGUCCUGGCUGUAAACGAUGGGCACUGGAUCGCGUGCUCGCCGAUGGGUGCGCGAUCGCAGCGAAAGCGUCAAGUGCCCCGCCUGGGGAGUAUGGCCGCAAGGCUGAAACUCAAAGGAAUUGACGGGGGCUCACACAAGCGGUGGAGCAUGUGGCUUAAUUCGAGGCUACGCGAAGAACCUUAUCCCGGGCUUGACAUGCACGGAUUAGCCGGCGGAAACGUCGGCGACGCCGCAAGGUGGAACGUGCACAGGUGCUGCAUGGCUGUCGUCAGCUCGUGCCGUGAGGUGUUGGGUUAAGUCCCGUAACGAGCGAAACCCUUGCCCUUAGUUGCCAGCGGGUCGAGCCGGGCACUCUAAGGGGACCGCCGGCGUCAAGCCGGAGGAAGGCGGGGACGACGUCAAGUCAUCAUGGCCCUUAUGCCCGGGGCUGCACACGUGCUACAAUGGGCCGGACAGAGCGUCGCGAGGCCGCAAGGCGGAGCCAAUCGCAAAAACCGGCCCCCAGUUCGGAUC